RNAcentral lists this ribosomal RNA (274 nucleotides) under uncultured bacterium. RNAcentral's name for it is "partial 16S ribosomal RNA". It matches the Rfam family "Bacterial small subunit ribosomal RNA", at positions 523 to 796 of the family's 1533-position model. The record is from RNAcentral.
AUACGGAGGGUGCAAGCGUUAUCCGGAAUCAUUGGGUUUAAAGGGUCCGUAGGCGGGCAAUUAGGUCAGAGGUGAAAUCCCACAGCUCAACUGUGGAACUGCCUUUGAUACUGGUUGUCUUGAGUUAUAGUGGAGUAGAUAGAAUGUGUAGUGUAGCGGUGAAAUGCAUAGAUAUUACACAGAAUACCGAUUGCGAAGGCAGUCUACUAACUGUUGACUGACGCUAAUGGACGAAAGCGUGGGGAGCGAACAGGAUUAGAAACCCCAGUAGUCC